UCCGGUUUGUCACCGGCAGUCCCAUUAGAGUGCCCAACUGAAUGUGGCAACUAUUUACAAGGGUUGCGCUCGUUAAUGGACUUAACCAAACAUCUCACGACACGAGCUGACGACGGCCAUGCAUCACCUGUCACCUGAUUCCCGAAGGCACUCUCUCCUUUCGGAGAAAUUCCAGGGAUGUCAAGCCUUGGUAAGGUUCUUCGCUUAUCAUCGAAUUAAACAACACGCUCCACCGCUUGUGCGGGUCCCCGUCAAUUCCUUUAUGUUUUAAGCUUGCGCUCGUACUCCACAGACGGGAUGCUUAACGCGUUAGCUUCGCUACUACAAGGGUCGAUACUCAUAACAGCUAGCAUCCAUCGUUUACGGCGUGGACUA
Molecule: unclassified non-coding RNA, 375 nt
Filed under: uncultured bacterium
Lineage: Bacteria
Description: contains 16S-23S intergenic spacer region
Source: RNAcentral